This 449-nucleotide ribosomal RNA is filed under the name uncultured marine bacterium. Its description in RNAcentral is "bacterial SSU rRNA". It matches the Rfam family "Bacterial small subunit ribosomal RNA", at positions 360 to 804 of the family's 1533-position model. The record is from RNAcentral.
AAUCUUCGGCAAUGGGCGAAAGCCUGACCGAGCGACGCCGCGUGCGGGAUGAAGGCCUUCGGGUUGUAAACCGCUGUCAGAGGGGAGGAAAUCGUAGAGGGUUAUCCCUCUAUGUUGACCUAUCCUCAGAGGAAGUCCGGGCUAAGUUCGUGCCAGCAGCCGCGGUAAGACGAACCGGACAAACGUUAUUCGGAAUCACUGGGCUUAAAGGGUGCGUAGGCGGUCUGAUAAGUAGGAUGUGAAAUCUCCCGGCCCAACCGGGGAACUGCGUUCUAAACUGUCAGGCUUGAGUGAGAUAGGGGUGUGCGGAACUUCUAGUGGAGCGGUGAAAUGUGUUGAUAUUAGAAGGAACACCAGUAGCGAAGGCGGUACACUGGGUCUCAACUGACGCUCAUGCACGAAAGCUAGGGUAGCGAACGGGAUUAGAUACCCCGGUAGUCCUAGCUGUA